CCUCCCCAAGGCGCCCCCCGGGAGUUUUCCUCAGAGGCCCCGCGCUCGGGACGCGCCGCAGCCCCCCAUCGCCCCUUAUUUUUGGGGAGGCGCGGGUGCCCCUGCGAGGGUUUCCUCAGGGGAGCGGCAGCCGCUUCGCCCGCGAACGCCCGUGUCCUGGGCCCCAGUGAAACGCCGCCUAAAAAAGGGGCUACUUGGGGCCUUCCGGUGUUUUUUUAAAAAAAUAAAAAUAAAAAUUAUGAUGUGGAAARUUCUGAAAAUUCUGAGAAGUCUCUUGUGAGCCCAAAGCGGGUUGCCGUUCAGCGCUUAAUUAAAUACAUUUGUGAAAAAGCUUCUUAGUGCGGUAAUUGCCGACCCCCCCCUCAUGUCUCCAGAAGUUGGGAAAUUCGACGGCGAACGUUUCCUGCUCAAAGUUCGGAGAUGCACCACGUUGCUCAGUAUACUUAUGGAAAUCUCUACAGUCAUCUCAGAAAUAUAGAUAUUGCUAGACUGAAGAUGUUGGCUUUGGCCUUACCGGCAACAAGAGUUUUCCCUAAUUCCAACAGUGGACGAGCAGCGAUACCACCAAGCGAAGCAGAAACAUGAGGAACAAGAAAGAAAUACAAGGAAGGAGCUGAAGUAAAUCAGCAGGUGAAAUGAACUCGAUCUUGCAGUUAUGGUAAUGUUUUAUCUUCUGUUUACAGCAAGCAGAUGUUCUAUAGCCAUUAUUUUUACUGUUUGCAAGAAAUGAUGUUAUGCAAAGGGAUAACAGGUUUCAAAUGGUGAGUUACACAGCAAACAGGGGCAGAGCAUUUUUACGUUGGCAUGGGCACACGAAGAAUUUGUUUCCUCGUACGCUGAGCAAGUAGCUAUCUUCCUGUGACAUCUCCGAGAAAAUCAAUCCCUUCUACUCACAUCAGUGCAGGAGGGUGGCCUUAGGCGCUAAUGUGAGCCUGUGCCCCACUGAACGCGCUGGGAGAUGUGCCAUUGCAGUCAGUGUAAUCACCUCUGACUGAUGUCACGAGUCAGUUUUCACUGGCAAUUACAUCCCCAAAGUUAAACAGCAYGAAUGAAUGUAAAAACGAAUAAAAUAAAAGUCAUUUGCUAUCA
This 1089-nucleotide long non-coding RNA is filed under the name Apteryx rowi (Okarito brown kiwi). RNAcentral describes it as "lncRNA (ENSARWG00000008315.1)". Lineage: Eukaryota; Metazoa; Chordata; Aves; Apterygiformes; Apterygidae. The record is from RNAcentral.